Molecule: ribosomal RNA, 473 nt
Filed under: uncultured organism
Description: partial 16S ribosomal RNA
Rfam family: Bacterial small subunit ribosomal RNA
Source: RNAcentral
ACUCCUGCGGGAGGCAGCAGUGGGGAAUUUUGGACAAUGGGCGAAAGCCUGAUCCAGCCAUGCCGCGUGCAGGAUGAAGGCCUUCGGGUUGUAAACUGCUUUUGUACGGAACGAAACGGCCUUUUCUAAUAAAGAGGGCUAAUGACGGUACCGUAAGAAUAAGCACCGGCUAACUACGUGCCAGCAGCCGCGGUAAUACGUAGGGUGCAAGCGUUAAUCGGAAUUACUGGGCGUAAAGCGUGCGCAGGCGGUUAUGUAAGACAGUUGUGAAAUCCCCGGGCUCAACCUGGGAACUGCAUCUGUGACUGCAUAGCUAGAGUACGGUAGAGGGGGAUGGAAUUCCGCGUGUAGCAGUGAAAUGCGUAGAUAUGCGGAGGAACACCGAUGGCGAAGGCAAUCCCCUGGACCUGUACUGACGCUCAUGCACGAAAGCGUGGGGAGCAAACAGGAUUAGAUACCCGUGUAGUCCCAUG